UGAGCAACCUGCCUUUCANAGGGGGAUAACAGUUGGAAACGACUGCUAAUACCGCAUAACGCUGCGAUGGGGCAUCCCGAUGCAGCCAAAGGAGCAAUCCGCUGGAAGAUGGGCUCGCGGCCGAUUAGCUAGUUGGUGGGGCAACGGCCCACCAAGGCGACGAUCGGUAGCCGGACUGAGAGGUUGAUCGGCCACAUUGGGACUGAGAUACGGCCCAGACUCCUACGGGAGGCAGCAG
RNAcentral lists this ribosomal RNA (238 nucleotides) under uncultured bacterium. RNAcentral's name for it is "partial 16S ribosomal RNA". It matches the Rfam family "Bacterial small subunit ribosomal RNA", at positions 118 to 354 of the family's 1533-position model. The record is from RNAcentral.